This 114-nucleotide non-coding RNA is filed under the name Gorilla gorilla gorilla (western lowland gorilla). Lineage: Eukaryota; Metazoa; Chordata; Mammalia; Primates; Hominidae. The record is from Rfam by way of RNAcentral.
GCCAGGCAUGGUGGCUCAUGCCUGUAAUCCUAGCACUUUGGGAGGCCAAGGUGGGCGGGUCACCUGAGGUCAGGAGUUCACCAGCCUGACCAACAUGGUGAAACCCCAUCUUUA